UCCGUAACAAACCUUGCCGGCGAACCCGCGUCUGUUGCAGCUGAAUCACGAGCAUCGCGGGAUUCUAACCUCCCCUGGACGGUAUAUGAGCGUGGCCGCCUCCCCUCACAAUCAACCGAGGCGCCUCGUGCUGGGAGCCAUCCCCGUAGACCAAAUCUGAGAGAGGAGUGGAUGCCGCCGCGGCUAUUCUUGCCGUCGUCGUGAUUCCGCUCAUCUACCUUCGCUCGGUGUGCGUGGCAUGGUCAUCGAAGAUCUCCAGGGCGCGUUGAAGCUCGUUAUGGCGACGCCGGGCGGGAUGGCUCUCUCUGUCACCGAAAUUUCACCGGAACUGAAUCUCUAUUGUCGGGUGCCGCCGCCGCCAAAACUUCGCACCAUAUCGCCGCCCCCCCUGUUUUGUGCCCGGAGGAACUCGCGGAUUCGUGCGCAACCUCAUCGCCGACUAUUUUGGACUUGUGGUUGGCUCGGGCCACCUCGAUUGCUCACCGGUGUCCCAGCUCCGCCUCGGAUCCGCUUUGCACCGUCGACUGGCCGCAACACGGUUCCAAUUGCCGGUAACAACUUCCCCUAUGUCUCACCGUAGCUCUGCAUUUGUAUAGUUUACCUACAAUCGGACUCUGGGGCCCUGAAUUGCCGUAUCCGGUUACUCCGGCGAGGAGCGCCGCCGUAGCGCGUGCGGCAACCUCGCUGCCGUGGCGUGUGGUUGGGGAUGAGAGCCUAGCCGUCGAUUGAGCAAUCAAGGGUGCAGGUUAGAUCGGGAGGGCGGAUCAGGCCAGGGUAAAUGCGGAUCGUCCGAUCGCGAUCGGACGGGUCGGGGCGAUCGCAGGGGAUUUUAAAUCCAAACCGUAGAUUUGUAAUCGUGCGGUGCCUACUGGGUACCGAUUCGUUUCGAAGCCGGUCUAAUCGUAGCCGUAGAACUUUAAUCCAACGGCCGGGAUUGGCCCGUACCCCUUCGCGGGUACGUUUUACAAAAGAAACCCCGCCAAACUUUGAAACCAACCCGCCAUCCGCGCGGGGAUUAAGUCUGAGUCUUCAGAUAAAUUGCGCUAAGGCCCCUGUCUUUCUCAGAUUUAUUGCGCCCAGUCCAGAGCCGAGUUAAAUUGAUUAAAUGAAUUGGAAAUUGGAUUUUUAAUAUGAAAAUAAACCCUAGAACUUCAAUAAUUCAUAGAAAAUGCAUAUGAACUCCAAAUUACUUCAUUCCAGUUCCUAAAAUUUUGUAAUAAUGUUGUUCAUUACAUAGCACCUCUGUUUUAACAUGAAAAUGGUAUUAAAAUUUAUUUCUUAACUAAUCUUGUAUCAAAUACAUAAAACCUUAGGAAAUCCGUAUCUCCUUCAUUUUAAAUCCGAUUUGACUCGUUCCAGUUGCGUUAGUCUCGUAGCAACGCGUAGAUUAUUAUUACUCAGUUUAUUCUUAUGUUUGUUGUGAUGUUAAUUUUGCCUAUACCAUAUUUGUUUGUAUUGCUACGACUAGUGUGAGGUCACGAGUCACCUGAAGAUCAUCCUGGUACCUGGAAUCUCAAGUCUCAGGCAAGUUGUGCCCUUGAUCACUUCUUUUACCCACUCAUGUUCUAAUUAAUCAUAAUGAUCUGCAUAGGUUAAUUUUGAUGGGACCCAAUAGGUUACCCUAGUUUGAUUAUCUUUAUACCUUGUUUACCACUGAACUUUUUGGGUAGUACUUGCUAGUGCUUUUAUGUGGUUUUGGGUAUGAGGAUACAUUAUUCAUGAUCACACUGUUAUUAUCUGUUUAUUAUUACUGUUCAUGAUAAGAUCAUUAUGUUAAUUGGAACAUGGAGAACCACCCGGGAAAACAGUGCUACCACAAGGGUUUAAUGGGACGCCCUUGGCUGAUUAAUUAGGAAAGCUAGUGGAGGACUACCUUACCCGAAAGGGGCAAGGGCAGUAGGGGAGUGGUCAGUGUAGGGAGGCCCUCGGGAGGAUUUUGCUGUGAUGGCGGUCCUGCAAGGGAUUCCUGGGAAGGCCCUCGGGAGGAUUUUGCUGUGAUGGCGGUCCUGCAAGGGAUUCCUGGGGAGGCCCUCGGGAGGAUUUUGCUGUGAUGGCGGUCCUGCAAGGGAUUCCUGCAUUGGAGCUUCCUAUAAACUGUAGCGGGUUUUCUGAAGCUAGUGGAACUUUGUAAAGGCCUCGUAGUGUUACCCUGCCUCGCCUCCUCGGUAGAGGUGUAUGGGAAGUCGCGAUCCCUUGGCAGAUGGGUAACAUGACUUGUGGGUAAAGAUGCGCCACCUCUGCAGAGUGUAAAACUGGUAUACUAGCCGUGCUCACGGUCAUGAGCAGCUCGGACCCUCACAUGAUUAAAUUAUGGAACUUAAACUCAAUUUGUCAUAUGCAUUGCAUCGCAGGUGAGGUUAUUACUUUUGUUCUACUAUUUAACUGGGCUGGUAUUUACUUAUACUUAGUAAUUGCUAAUAAAAUUUUGACCAACUUUAAAAGCAAUGCUCAGCUCUAACCAUCCUCUUUGGUAAGCCUUACACUUCACAUGAGCUCCCGCCUUUGGCGAGUUCAUGCACAUUAUUCCCCACAACUUGCUGAGCGAUGAACGUAUGUGAGCUCACUCUUGCUGUCUCACACCCCCCCACAGGUCAAGAACAGGUACUGCAGGAUGAUGCUCAUGGAGGAUGCUGUGAUGAGUUCGUGAGAGGUCUAGGUCAUCGUCUCCCAGUCAACUUUGGGUUGCUGGACCGUUGUCUCCCUAUAAUGUAAUUAUCUAUUUAUUUUGUAUAGAACUCCUGUUAUAUAGUAAAGAUGUGACAUUCGAUCCUGUGCCAUG
Molecule: long non-coding RNA, 2779 nt
Filed under: Zea mays
Lineage: Eukaryota; Viridiplantae; Streptophyta; Magnoliopsida; Poales; Poaceae
Description: long non-coding RNA (ZMAY_LNC005847)
Source: RNAcentral